GACCGUUGGAUCAGGCUUGGACCGCUCAGAUCAGCCCAAAAAUCAGCCUUUUACUCCUCAUCAAGGUCGGAUUUAACUACAGUCAUUCGAUCGUGCUUCAGAUGAGAUCUAGGCCAUUGAUCAGCACUUUUGAUCUCCUAUUCAAAGUCAAGAGCGUCCUCAGCAGUUGGAUCUGAUGAUGGAUGUAUUUUCGGCCAUU
Molecule: long non-coding RNA, 199 nt
Filed under: Elaeis guineensis (African oil palm)
Lineage: Eukaryota; Viridiplantae; Streptophyta; Magnoliopsida; Arecales; Arecaceae
Description: long non-coding RNA (EGUI_LNC063051)
Source: RNAcentral